This 450-nucleotide ribosomal RNA is filed under the name uncultured bacterium. RNAcentral describes it as "partial 16S ribosomal RNA". It matches the Rfam family "Bacterial small subunit ribosomal RNA", at positions 354 to 796 of the family's 1533-position model. The record is from RNAcentral.
GUGGGGAAUCUUCCGCAAUGGACGAAAGUCUGACGGAGCAACGCCGCGUGAGUGAAGAAGGUUUUCGGAUCGUAAAGCUCUUUCGUUAGGGACGAACGUGCUCUUUGUGAAUAAUGAGGAGUAAUGACGGUACCUAAAUAAGAAGCCACGGCUAACUACGUGCCAGCAGCCGCGGUAAUACGUAGGUGGCAAGCGUUGUCCGGAAUUAUUGGGCGUAAAGCGCGCGCAGGCGGGAUAUCAAGUCUGUCUUAAAAGUGCGAGGCUCAACCUCGUGAGGGGACAGAAACUGGUAUUCUUGAGUGUCGGAGAGGAAAGUGGAAUUCCAAGUGUAGCGGUGAAAUGCGUAGAGAUUUGGAAGAACACCAGUGGCGAAGGCGACUUUCUGGACGAUGUCUGACGCUGAGGCGCGAAAGCUAGGGGAGCAAACGGGAUUAGAAACCCCGGUAGUCC